This 307-nucleotide unclassified non-coding RNA is filed under the name plant metagenome. RNAcentral describes it as "partial contains 5.8S ribosomal RNA, internal transcribed spacer 2, and large subunit ribosomal RNA". The stretch from base 1 to 105 matches the Rfam family "5.8S ribosomal RNA", at positions 50 to 154 of the family's 154-position model. The record is from RNAcentral.
GAAAUGCGAUAAGUAGUGUGAAUUGCAGAAUUCAGUGAAUCAUCGAAUCUUUGAACGCACAUUGCGCCCCUCGGUAUUCCGUGGGGCAUGCCUGUUCGAGCGUCAUCUACACCCUCAAGCUCUGUUUGGUGUUGGGCGUCUGUCCCGCCUCCGCGCGCGGACUCGCCCCAAAUGCAUUGGCAGCGGUUCCUUGCCCCCCUCUUUGCGCAGCACAUUGCCGUUCGAGGCGGCGGCGGCCCGCGUCCAACAAGCUCAACCCCCCCGUCUUUGACCUCGGAUCAGGUAGGGAUACCCGCUGAACUUAAGC